GUGGGGAAUCUUGCGCAAUGCGCGAAAGCGUGACGCAGCAACGCCGCGUGGGGGAAGACGGCCUUCGGGUUGUAAACCCCUUUCAGUUGGGACGAAGCUCCGUCGGUGAAUAGCCGGCUGGAGUGACGGUACCUUCAGAAGAAGCCCCGGCUAACUACGUGCCAGCAGCCGCGGUAAUACGUAGGGGGCAAGCGUUGUCCGGAAUCAUUGGGCGUAAAGAGCGUGUAGGCGGCUCGGUAAGUCCGCUGUGAGAGUCCAGGGCUCAACCCUGGAAUGCCGGUGGAAACUGUCGAGCUAGAGUCCGGAAGAGGCGAGUGGAAUUCCUGGUGUAGCGGUGAAAUGCGCAGAUAUCAGGAGGAACACCAAUGGCGAAGGCAGCUCGCUGGGACGGUACUGACGCUGAGACGCGAAAGCGUGGGGAGCAAACAGGAUUAGAUACCCUGGUAGUCCACGCUGUAAACGAUGGGCACUAGGUGUGGGGGGGUGUCGACUCCCUCCGUGCCGACGCUAACGCAUUAAGUGCCCCGCCUGGGGAGUACGGCCGCAAGGC
RNAcentral lists this ribosomal RNA (550 nucleotides) under uncultured bacterium. RNAcentral describes it as "bacterial SSU rRNA". It matches the Rfam family "Bacterial small subunit ribosomal RNA", at positions 354 to 894 of the family's 1533-position model. The record is from RNAcentral.